RNAcentral lists this ribosomal RNA (493 nucleotides) under Alteromonas macleodii. RNAcentral's name for it is "bacterial SSU rRNA". It matches the Rfam family "Bacterial small subunit ribosomal RNA", at positions 19 to 509 of the family's 1533-position model. Lineage: Bacteria; Pseudomonadati; Pseudomonadota; Gammaproteobacteria; Alteromonadales; Alteromonadaceae. The record is from RNAcentral.
AUGGCUCAGAUUGAACGCUGGCGGCAGGCCUAACACAUGCAAGUCGAACGGUAACAUUUCUAGCUUGCAAGAAGAUGACGAGUGGCGGACGGGUGAGUAAUGCUUGGGAACUUGCCUUUGCGAGGGGGAUAACAGUUGGAAACGACUGCUAAUACCGCAUAAUGUCUUCGGACCAAACGGGGCUUCGGCUCCGGCGCAAAGAGAGGCCCAAGUGAGAUUAGCUAGUUGGUAAGGUAACGGCUUACCAAGGCGACGAUCUCUAGCUGUUCUGAGAGGAAGAUCAGCCACACUGGGACUGAGACACGGCCCAGACUCCUACGGGAGGCAGCAGUGGGGAAUAUUGCACAAUGGGGGAAACCCUGAUGCAGCCAUGCCGCGUGUGUGAAGAAGGCCUUCGGGUUGUAAAGCACUUUCAGUUGUGAGGAAAAGUUAGUAGUUAAUACCUGCUAGCCGUGACGUUAACAACAGAAGAAGCACCGGCUAACUCCGUGCC